UUACGUCCAUAUCACGUCGAAACACCAGUUUCCGUACGAUCACCGAAGUUAAGCAAUGUCGAGCCUGGUCAGUACUUUAGAUAGGUGAUCGCUUAGAAAUAUCAGGUGCUGUAAG
Non-coding RNA from Acanthosepion pharaonis, 115 nucleotides. NCBI's taxonomy places the organism in Eukaryota, Metazoa, Mollusca, Cephalopoda, Sepiida, Sepiidae. The record is from the annotation of a GenBank genome assembly.